Long non-coding RNA from Solanum pennellii, 821 nucleotides. RefSeq lists it as uncharacterized. The record is from RefSeq and is a predicted model, not a curated record. NCBI's taxonomy places the organism in Eukaryota, Viridiplantae, Streptophyta, Magnoliopsida, Solanales, Solanaceae. The transcript has 2 exons.
UCUAAGAUUUGGCAGCCAUGUAUUAAAAUUUUCAAUUCUUGAAUACAUGCCACAAUUUGUAUAUAAAAAGGAACUUAUUUGCUUCUCAUUAAGGGUAUUCAAAAUAGGGUCGAAAAACACCUACCAACAAUAGAAAAAAUGAUCAAAAAAACAAAUUCAAAAAUCGUCUAAAAGGGCAUCCAUCAAAAUAGUAUUAAUAAAGAACAAAAUAACACAAAACACAAUACACUUCAAGAAUUUAGAGCUCAAAAAUUAUUUCAUCUUCUUGUCCUAUUUUUUUUAGUUUUUGAAUUUGAGUUCGAGGAAGUGCGAAGUUGACAUCUUUUGACGCAAAAGCUUUCGUUUGCAUGCCAACACAAGAAAUAGGUAAUCAGGAUCAUCAAUAGACACUUCGUUGAUACCACUUGCAGUCCCAAAGUUGUUUGGUCAGCCCACUUGCUUUUAGUGGAUCCCUCAAAUAUUUGUAUGAUUUCAAUUUCUUUUAGGAUGAUUGAAGGUCUUGUCCUGAUAUCCGUGAUAACAUUAGAAGCUUCAUACAAAGAAAGUAGUAGUUGAGAAGUUUGUUUCAUUUCCUAUUUUUUAAUGUUUUAGACUUGAGUUGCCCUUGUGGUCAGUUUGAAUAUUUUUAAAUGUUCUAAGCUAUGUAUUUGAUACAUUCAUGUUAAAACUUUAUAUUUGAGUUUAUAGUAAGUCUUCCGCUAAGAUAUGAGCUAGGCCAAGGGUUCACUAGAUGAAGCCAAUUGUUCUCUAGUGUCGUCCAUGUCAAGGAUGUAGGCUCGGAGUGUGAUAUUUUUUUUUGUAAUGCCAAACAACUUAAUUAA